CUUUGAAGGCUUUUAGUUUAGAUUAACUUAAAUCUCUUAUUAUAUAUA
RNAcentral lists this transfer RNA (48 nucleotides) under Myxoderma platyacanthum. RNAcentral describes it as "tRNA-OTHER". The record is from RNAcentral. Lineage: Eukaryota; Metazoa; Echinodermata; Asteroidea; Forcipulatida; Zoroasteridae.